This 465-nucleotide ribosomal RNA is filed under the name uncultured bacterium. Its description in RNAcentral is "partial 16S ribosomal RNA". It matches the Rfam family "Bacterial small subunit ribosomal RNA", at positions 28 to 507 of the family's 1533-position model. The record is from RNAcentral.
GACGAACGCUGGCGGCGUGCUUAACACAUGCAAGUCGAACGGAAAGGCCCCUUUGGGGGUACUCGAGUGGCAACCGGGGGAGUAACAGGUGAGUAACCUGCCCUUACCUUCGGGAUAACUUCAGGAAACUGGGGCUAUAACCGGUAAGGAAUCCUUGCUGCAUGGGGGGGGUUGGAAAGCUUCGGCGGUUUUGGAUGGCCUCGCGGCUUAUCGGCUUGUUGGUGGGGCAGUGGCUUACCAAGGCUUUGUCGGGUAGCCGGCCUGAGAGGGCGACCGGCCACAUUGGGACUGAGAUACGGCCCAGACUCCUACGGGAGGCAGCAGUGGGGAAUAUUGCACAAUGGGCGGAAGCCUGAUGCAGCAACGCCGCGUGCGGGAUGACGGCCUUCGGGUUGUAAACCGCAUUCAGCAGGGGCGAAGCUUGUGGUGACGGUACCUGCAGAAGAAGCACCGGCUAACUACGUG